This 2905-nucleotide ribosomal RNA is filed under the name Colobanthus quitensis. RNAcentral's name for it is "eukaryotic LSU rRNA". It matches the Rfam family "Eukaryotic large subunit ribosomal RNA", at positions 658 to 3182 of the family's 3401-position model. Lineage: Eukaryota; Viridiplantae; Streptophyta; Magnoliopsida; Caryophyllales; Caryophyllaceae. The record is from RNAcentral.
AACACGGAUCAAGGAGUGCAUCAGAGUUGAGAGUAUUGUGGUGAAAAAACCAAUAAUGCGAAAUGAAAGUAAAUACGAUAGAAGGGGUGCAGAGCCCUGGCAUAUUGUGCCGGUCCGAAUUUUUUUGAAGGAUCUGAGCGAAAUUAAUUCUGAUACAACCCGAAAGAUGAUGAUCUUAACACGACGAGGAUGAAGCCUGGUGAAAAUCAGGUGGAGGUCCGACGGGCGUUCUGACGUGCAAAUCGAUGCUCACAGUUGUGUUAAGGGGCGAAAUACUCAUCGAAUCAUUUAGUUGCUGGUUUUCUUCGAAGUUUCCCCCAGGAUAGCUGCGUUUGAUACAAGAGUUGCAUUUGGUAAAGCGAAUAAUUAGGAGAUUUGGGGGCAAAUUGCUCUCUGCUCAUUCUUAAACUUUAAAUGGGUGCGAUAUGGGAGUUGCUUAAGUGAACUUUCAUUACAAGAAUCGAUAAACGUUAGUGGGCCUCUCUUGGUAAGCAGGACGGGCGAUGUGGGCUGCUCCAAUCGUGGGGAUAAAGCGCUAAAGUGAUCGUUAAUCUAGACACCACAAAAGGUGUUUUAUUUCAUAGACAGCUGGACGGUGGACAUGGAAGCAGUCAUCCGAUAAUGAAUGCGUAACAGCUCACCAGCCGAGAGAUAAAGCCCUGAAAAUGGAUGGCGCUAAACGGUCCGCUUAUACUCCACCAUCAGUGCGAAAGAAGUAUUCGAUUGAUGAGUAGAAGAACGUGAAGUAUUUGGAGAAGAGAGGGCGUGAGCCCGAUUGGAAAAUACUUUAGUGCAGAUCUUGGUGGUAGUAGUAAUUACAAAAUUGAGAACAUUUUGGACUGAAGUUGAAAAUGGUUCCAGAUGAAGAGCAUUUCGAUCUGGGUUAGUCGAUCCUAAAAGAUUCGUUAAAUACGAUAAAAAGUGCGAUGGAUUUUUUUCAACAGAAAACCAUCAUCGAAUUGAAAGGGAAACAGGUCAAAAUUCCUGUACUUGGCUAAAGUGGCAACACUUUUUUUUGGGAUAUUACUUGCGGCGACGCAAAAGAACUUUGAGACUGGGGAGAAAGGAGGGAGUAGAGAUAUCUGCUCUAUUUAAGAGAAAAAAAGAGGAAAGCAAGAGUAGCGGGAGAAGGGAUUCGCGUUUCUUUUUUCGGUGCUUUUGCAACUAAAAAAACUCUUGAUGUCAUGUUAAUUAACUUUACGUUUAGAUCAUGAUGUAGUUCUCGAAAAAGGUUCUGGCAUUGUCAGAAGUCCUUUCCCAUCCCUUUCUACCUAUCAUAAAAAUCAAAGGGACAGAAUAAUUUUCCAGUCAAGUCGUACAAAUAUCCGCAGCAGGUUUCAAAGGUGAAAAGCCUCUAGUUUUGGGCAUAAUGUAAGUAAGGGAAGUCGGCAAAAUAGCACCGUAACUUUGGGAAAAGGUGUGGCUCUUGAGAGAGGGGAACAGGGCAGGGGGAAUCAAGCACGAGGGGACGGGUCGGUUUUGGGGGAACUGUGAUGCUGGGGGCAACUCUGGUGUUGUGGAGCUUCUGGCUGGCUUGGCCUCUUGGGCCUCCUCCUGGGGAAGAGAAGCAAUUCUUUUCCUUUUACCCUUUCCAAUUAACUCUUAAUCAAGAACUGAUGCUAACAAGGAGAAUCCGACUGUUUAAUUAAAACAAAGCAUUGCGACGAAUCCAAAAGGUUUAUUACGCAAUGUGAUUUCUGCUCAGUGCUCUGAAUGUUAUAGUGGAGAAAUUCGAUUAAGCGCGAGUCAACAGCGGGAGUAACUAUGACUCUCUUAAGGUAGCCAAAUGCCUCGUCAUCUAAUUAGUGACGCGCAUGAAUGGAUUAACGAGAUUCCCACUGUCCCUAUCUACGCGCUCGCGAACCCACAGUCAAGGGAACGGGCUUGACAAAGACGGCGGGGAAAGAAGACCCUGUUGAGCUUGACUCUAGUUUGAUAUGAAAAAUGAUUUUGAAGGUGUAGAAUAAGUGGGAGCUUCGGCAAAAUUGAAAUACCACUACUUUGAACAUUGUUUUUCUCAGUGUAUGAAAAAGGAGAUGGGGGGAAGGCUGUGGGGACGAAAGUUCUUUCUUGGCUUUCCCUCUUAUUCUUGAAUUAAUUGCUAAACACGGCCUUGCACAAGCAGGCUCUUUGAAGAUUGGGGUUUCGGCGGUCUGCAGUUGGCUCAAAAGGCCGUGUGCGGGUGUGGGAACGGAGUAAAAUCCUUUUCAUAUUCGUGUGCGGACGACGGGGCCAAAGGCGUGGCAGCCGCUUCAGUUGCUUAAGGGGUCGGCGGCGAGGUCACUCUGUAAAGCAAGACCUUGGUACACGACAAUUUCAGAUGGGGAGUUUGGCUGGGGCGGCUCGUAUGUGAAAAGAUAGCGCAUGCGUCCAAAGGGCAACUCAGUGAGAACAGAAAUCUCACGUAGAGUAAAAGGGCAAAAGUUGCCUUGAUUUUGUUAUUCAGUAUGUAAACAAACAAUGAAAGUUUGGCCUAUCGAUCCUUUAAAAUCUGGAAGAUUAAAUCGUGAAAUUUACGAUUAGAGGUGUCAGAAAAGUUACCACAGGGAUAACUGGCUUGUGGCGGCCAAGAGUUCAUAUCGACGUCGCUUUUUGAUCCUUCGAUGUCGGCUCUUCCUAUCAUUACUUUGCAGAAGGAGUAAAGUGUUGGAUUGUUCACCCGUUAAAAGGGAACGUGAGCUGGGUUUAGACCGUCGUGAGACAGGUUAGUUUUAUCCUACCGUCUAGGGUUUGGCGAGAGGAAUGAUUCAAAGUACGAGAGGAACGGAAUCAUCACGCUUCUGGUGAAACGCUUGUUUGACAAGACAGUGGUGUUAAGCUACGCGUGCCGAGAUAACAGCUGAACGCCUCUAAGCUGGAAUCCGCUCUCAAAGAUUGCCAAACGAGGAGAAGGGGCGACUCUUUU